GCUCGUAGGCGGUCUGUCGCGUCUGGUGUGAAAUCCCAUGGCUCAACUGUGGGCUUGCAUCGGGUACGGGCAGACUAGAGUGCUGUAGGGGAGACUGGAAUUCCUGGUGUAGCGGUGGAAUGCGCAGAUAUCAGGAGGAACACCGAUGGCGAAGGCAGGUCUCUGGGCAGUUACUGACGCUGAGGAGCGAAAGCAUGGGGAGCGAACAGGAUUAGAUACCCUGGUAGUCCAUGCCGUAAACGUUGGGCACUAGGUGUGGGGCGGGUUCCACUCGUUCUGUGCCGUAGCUAACGCAUUAAGUGCCCCGCCUGGGGAGUACGGCCGCAAGGCUAAAACUCAAAGGAAUUGACGGGGGCCCGCACAAGCGGCGGAGCAUGCGGAUUAAUUCGAUGCAACGCGAAGAACCUUACCAAGGCUUGACAUGUACGAGAAAGCCCCAGAGAUGGGGUUCUCUUUGGACACUCGUACACAGGUGGUGCAUGGUUGUCGUCAGCUCGUGUCGUGAGAUGUUGGGUUAAGUCCCGCAACGAGCGCAACCCUUAUCCUAUGUUGCCAGCGGGUUAUGCCGGGGACUCAUGGGAGACUGCCGGGGUCAACUCGGAGGAAGGUGGGGAUGACGUCAAAUCAUCAUGCCCCUUAUGUCUUGGGCUUCACGCAUGCUACAAUGGCCGGUACAGAGGGCUGCGAUACCGUGAGGUGGAGCGAAUCCCAAAAAGCCGGUCUCAGUUCGGAUCGGGGUCUGCAACUCGACCCCGUGAAGUCGGAGUCGCUAGUAAUCGCAGAUCAGCAACGCUGCGGUGAAUACGUUCCCGGGCCUUGUAC
This 822-nucleotide ribosomal RNA is filed under the name Promicromonospora sp. AW19M33. Its description in RNAcentral is "bacterial SSU rRNA". It matches the Rfam family "Bacterial small subunit ribosomal RNA", at positions 567 to 1386 of the family's 1533-position model. Lineage: Bacteria; Bacillati; Actinomycetota; Actinomycetes; Micrococcales; Promicromonosporaceae. The record is from RNAcentral.